Molecule: long non-coding RNA, 344 nt
Filed under: Homo sapiens (human)
Lineage: Eukaryota; Metazoa; Chordata; Mammalia; Primates; Hominidae
Description: LNC_000922
Source: RNAcentral
UGCCCACUCUCGGGUUGUUGCCGAUGUCCAGGUAAUCGCUGCCCUGUGAGUGCAUCACAGCCAGGCCCAGGUCGGCGAUGCAACACUGCAGGUUGCUCUUGACCAGCACAUUGCGGCUCUUGAAGUCGCGGUGGGCAAUGGCUGGUUUGCCCUGUGUACCGAAGAUCUCCACGUGCAGGUGCGCCAGGCCGCAUGCCGCGGACACAGCUAGCCUCAGAGCCAGAUGGGGCUCCAGCGUCUGUCUCUGCAGAAAGUCGUAGAGGGAGCCGUGCUCGUGGUAGUGCGUGAUGAGCCACAGCUGCGUGCUCGAGUUGCGGGAGGUCAUGUCUGAGGCGAUGAAGCCU